CCGCGGUGUCCGAUCCAGUGUGGAGCUCCGCUCCUCGCGUUCUGGUCCCAGAGAAACGAGGGGAGAAACUCGGGGAGCGACCACCUCCACAACUCGAGUAAACAAAUGGAUGCCGCGGCGUUUUGCGGUAAAAAUAUGAAAAAUGUGACCGGACUGCGUCGAAUACAAAGAGGAAGAUGCCAGGGCACAAGAGGAAAUACAAUGUCCGGUUCCCUCCGAGUCGAAUCAAGAAAAUCAUGCAAAAGGACGCAGAGGUUGGGAGGAUUGCGACCGCAGUUCCUGUCAUCAUCUCUCGAGCGUUGGAGAUGUUCCUGGAGUCUCUUCUCACCAAAACGUGUCUGAUAACUCAGUCAAAGCUCAGCAGCGCCGUGUCUGUGGCUCACAUACCUGGUGGAGGGAGCCACGUCUGCUGCAGCCCAGAAGAACGACAGAGGCACCGGUAUAUGGCCUUUAUUCAGGUACAUGCCAGACAUGUCAAUAUUCCUGUGCCACGGGCGUGUUUUUGCUGAAGGUCGUUGGUGUCAGCAUCACUCCAGAGAUUGCUGACCAUCAAUGUAUGGUUUUCAAAUCCAGACACAGACAGCUGCUGUUCAAAGCAUUUAGAAACAGGGCAGGAACCUUCAGCUGUUAAAAAAAUGCUGCAGAUCUCAGUUUGAUGUCAAAAGGUUUUGGUGCAAAGACAUUGUGCAACUCUAGUCAGGCUGAAAAAUCUACAGCUGCAGAGCAGACACAGCUGCAGAUGAGACAGCUGCAGAUGAGACAGCUGCAGAUGAGACAGCUGCAGAUGAGACACAGCUGCAGAUGAGACAGAUGCAGAUGAGACAGCUGCAGAUGAGACAGCUGCAGAUGAGACACAGCUGCAGAUGAGACAGCUGCAGAGCAGACAGCUGCAGAGCAGACACAGCUGCAGAUGAGACAGCUGCAGAUGAGACAGCUGCAGAUGAGACAGCUGCAGAUGAGACACAGCUGAGAUGAGACAGCUGCAGAGCAGACACAGCUGCAGAUGAGACAGCUGCAGAUGAGACAGCUGCAGAGCAGACACAUCUGAGAUGAGACAGCUGCAGAGCAGACACAGCUGCAGAUGAGACAGCUGCAGAGCAGACACAGCUGCAGAUGAGACAGCUAUAAAGCAGACACAGCUGCAGAGCAGACACAGCUGCAGAUGAGACAGCUGCAGAUGGGAGACCUGCAGAGCAGACAAGGCUGUAGAUGAGGCAGCUGGAGAGUUUUUCUGCAGCUUCCAACAUUUUCAUUGUUCUGAGUAUUUGGUUUCAACUGGACAAACACUGAACUGCAGCUCUCUGUAGAAAGGCCUAUGCUUUAUUGACUUGUGGCAGGAUUUCUCUUUAAGGUACAAAGGACAGGAGGUUUCUGGUAGGAAACUGUCUGAAGGAGGAGACGUGGCGUCUCGCAGGAGCUUCGCCUCACUCGAAAGCGACUCGAGUUCCAGCGUACGUAACUUUUCUUAGACUCACUGUUGUAGAAACAAAUGAAUGAGAGCCAAAGGGUUAGCAGCAAUCCAACCAAAUCCUGCAGCCUUUAACCGCCUCAGAGAGGAGGCAUCCUCUGCCCUCGUACAGAGAAACUGGUGAAGCAGGUAUUUGCAGGUUGAAGGCAGGAGGACUCCUUACUUCCGUGCGUGUUUGCAGGAGGCGGAGCUCUACAUCUGCUUGUAGGCGUGCAGACAGCAGGAGUUUCAUCAUCUCUACACGUCCGGACCGGUCUGAUCACUUUGCUGCCGCUUCGGCUGGUAAAAACAAGAGUAUAUUAGGAGGAAUGACUUCCAGAUGGAAAGGAAAGCUUUUUUUUUAUAGCAUUAAUGAUGGAUUUUUGUUUCCGAGCUUUUUCGUUUGUUAUUGAACGUCUGUUUUUGGUUCCUAGAUGAGUUUAGUUUGACCUGAACGACAUAUUUGACGUGUGAUCUGCAGCUGAAGCACCUUUGAUGGAGCCCUGCUGCUGUUUUGUGCUUCAUUGAGGUUUCUGCAGAAAUCUACAAAACCAAAUGUUUUAUUUCACAGCAGAUAAAGUGUUUCUGUUUUUAAAGCAUGUGUAAGUUAAUGUUUUAAAGACAGAAAAACAUUUGCUAAUAAAAUGUGCUUAUUUAUGUCGGCCUGAAAGCCAGAAGGAAAACUCUCAGUUAAAUAAAAUAACAAAGCAAGA
This is a non-coding RNA of Oryzias latipes (Japanese medaka), 2160 nucleotides long. Lineage: Eukaryota; Metazoa; Chordata; Actinopteri; Beloniformes; Adrianichthyidae. The record is from RefSeq and is a predicted model, not a curated record.